GCCCAAGUAGCUCAGUAGGUUAGAGUACGUCCUUGGUAAGGACGAGGUCGGCGGUUCGAAUCCGCUCUUGGGCU
RNAcentral lists this transfer RNA (74 nucleotides) under Desulfurispirillum indicum S5. It matches the Rfam family "tRNA". Rfam says of the family: Transfer RNA (tRNA) molecules are approximately 80 nucleotides in length. Their secondary structure includes four short double-helical elements and three loops (D, anti-codon, and T loops). The record is from Rfam by way of RNAcentral. Lineage: Bacteria; Pseudomonadati; Chrysiogenota; Chrysiogenia; Chrysiogenales; Chrysiogenaceae. RNAcentral also lists the same sequence under 1 other name.